ACUCUUUUUUCUUUUCUGUUACAGAAACAGUCUUUACUCUUUAUUGUAAAAUCAAGUAAGUACCCUAAAACAUAAAAUAUUAAAAUAAAGUAUUUGUAAAAAAUCUUUCAAUAAUUUACUCUCAUCUCGCCUGCCCCAUUUCAAGUUGUGCAGUGACAUCUCAAAGGAAUCACCUUAUCUAUAAGAAGAUAAUUUAUACAAUGAAACAGCCCUUGGGGGACUGUCCAUAAAUAUCAUGGUGGAUACCUCUUCCGGGUUUCUGAAGCUGCAUCAGAAUACGUCACAUCAUUGCCUCUCUAGUGUUUAAUCUCGAUGGCUAAAGGUCAUAUUUGAGACGAGAAACGGAAGCAAGUACGGUGGACCGAAGAAGACCCCAGAGAUUGAACAGUGUUGUCAUUUUAAGAGAUUCCCUCUGAUGAUUCAGCAGGCGCUUGCAGUGGCAGAUGACAUUCUCUCAAGUCUGAACGCAGUCAUUGAGGUCACUGCUUAUGCUAACGUGUCACAGACUGAAAGCGAAGGAUAGCGGGGAUGCUAACGGUUGGCAGCCCAACUGAGAAUAAUUCAUCUCCAUAUGCCAACUGCGAUGUGUGCAUCCCUAACCCUCCAGCUGCCAGUUUGAGGUCGGAAGUCAAAGGUCAGAUGACAGGUCCUCAUCCCUCUUUUGCCCCUGACCUACUUCAACUCUGCAGACCCCACCGGGUCAGUCCACACUCCCUCUGCCUGGGCUCAAAACAAAUGAAAGGCCAUCUGCCCAGGACUGAUGGGCUUUUGGGCCAGCAUUGUGUGAGAAGAAGGCUCUUUAGGACCUCCGUGACCUCCAGCCCAGCACUGCUGUCCCUAAUCUGCUGAUGGGUUGAAGGCUUACAUUUUUACUACAGAGCAUUUGGAUGACCACCCUUGACUCACAAAACAACCUGAACGCAGCGAUACACAUUACUACAAAAGCAAAUAAAUCGGCUUUUUUGUAUUCCCAUGGUGGGCUAUGAAAAACAAGAACAUUCAGGACAAAGUUUACACAGCAGCAAUUCAAUCAAAUUGCUGACUGGUUAGAUAAAUAUAAAUUGUUAUUUAUUGCUUUAUGGUGGCAUUUAGUGCUAUAUAAAUCUGAUUUAUUAUUAUUAUGAUUAUUAUUAUUUAACAUUAGCAUACACACAGCUUAGCACAUAAAUGUACUUGUUCUACCAGUAGCUUAAAUACCUAUAUCUAUGAUAUGACAUGAAGUUCUUGAAGGAGACCAGUAAUCAAAUCGAGCUGCAGAUGCUGUGUUUUGGGUGGCCUACAUGUCCAUUCCUGACCCCGAGAGAAAGACCUUUUCAAUUCCCUCGGGAGCACAAUGGCUGUGGGAACACACCACUCCCAAUGUGAUGACUGCUUCUCAUUGCUGUUUGGGACCACAGUGACAUCUAUUGCGUACAACAAGGCGGUCAGAUAAACUUUAUUCUGGCAUCUUGUAUAAUAUGCCAAGAGGCCUCAUUUAGUCAAGGCUGCUUUGUAGAGACGUGCAUUCAGAUGCUUGAACAACAUGGCCAGAACGUCGAAUAUAGUGACAUGAGUUAUCAUUUGUUAUGACAUAUCAGUGUUUAAAGUUUCAUAACACGAUGAUGUGUCUUGUUUCUCUUCCCCUUUUGUAAGCUUGUCAGUCAUAUGGUUAAGCUGAAUUCUUGAAAGAUAUGGACUUCACAUUCCAUAUUCUUCCCCCAUCGAAACAGAUUGAUCCCAAAGAGCUACAUAGGCUAUUAUUUAGCAUACACUCAGUAACAAUAAUCUGAGAGCAGGAAAAAUGUCAUAAUAAUAAUAAUAAUUUUGGUUAAGUCAUGCGUAUGGUACACAGCAAACCUUAAUCAGCGUAGAUAUGGGAGUCAGUUGAUGUCAAGCUGAUGGUCUGUUCUUGAAACUAUUUGGCCAAUCUGAUGUGGACGAUGGCCAGCUUGGUAACUUGUUAGCUAAAGGCAUAUUAUGAAGGUUUUUACUGUUUUAAAGAUUCUAAAGGUUUUAAAGGUUUUUCUAGGUAACUAUUUAUAACGUCCUCAGAUUCAUUCUGUUGGUAUGGUCAUGGGAAGAACUGAUAAACACCCUGGUUUUUCUCACUCGCUGCGCAGGUCAUUCACUAUGUAGCUUUGUGCCUUCACAGCAGC
Molecule: long non-coding RNA, 2135 nt
Organism: Clupea harengus (Atlantic herring)
Lineage: Eukaryota; Metazoa; Chordata; Actinopteri; Clupeiformes; Clupeidae
Source: Ensembl